This 436-nucleotide ribosomal RNA is filed under the name uncultured Saccharofermentans sp. RNAcentral's name for it is "partial 16S ribosomal RNA". It matches the Rfam family "Bacterial small subunit ribosomal RNA", at positions 341 to 792 of the family's 1533-position model. Lineage: Bacteria; Bacillati; Bacillota; Clostridia; Eubacteriales; Oscillospiraceae. The record is from RNAcentral.
ACGGAAGGCAGCAGUGGGGAAUAUUGGGCAAUGGGCGCAAGCCUGACCCAGCAACGCCGCGUGAAGGAUGAAGGUCUUCGGAUUGUAAACUUCUUUAAUCGGGGAUGAAAAAAAUGACCUACCCGAAGAAUAAGUCACGGCUAACUACGUGCCAGCAGCCGCGGUAAUACGUGGGUGACAAGCGUUAUCCGGAUUUACUGGGCGUAAAGGGCGUGUAGGCGGUUUGGCAAGUCAGAAGUGAAAUUCCUGAGCUCAACUCGGGCGCUGCUUCUGAAACUGCUAGACUUGAGUGCUGGAGGGGAUAGCGGAAUUCCUAGUGGAGCGGUAAAAUGCGCAGAUAUUAGGAAGAACACCGGUGGCGAAGGCGGCUAUCUGGACAGUAACUGACGCUGAGGCGCGAAAGCGUGGGGAGCAAACAGGAUUAGAUACCCUGGUA